AUACUUACCUGGCAGGAUGAUUACCAUGAUCAAGAAGGCGGAUCACCCAGGGUGAGGCUCAGCCAUUGCACUCUGCGAAUUUCCCAAAUGUGGGAAUCAUUUCUGGUUGUGGGGGACUGCAUUCGUGCUCUCCCCUG
This is a small nuclear RNA of 137 nucleotides. Its record names the gene U1. It matches the Rfam family "U1 spliceosomal RNA". From Rfam's summary of the family: U1 is a small nuclear RNA (snRNA) component of the spliceosome (involved in pre-mRNA splicing). The record is from Ensembl.